UUUAGCCUUCCCACUAACACCAAAUGUACCCAUAGGCUUAAAAUUCACUCAAAUAAGGUACAGCCUAUUUGAAACAGGACACAACCUGCAACAGAGGGUAAUACAUAAACUAACGUGACCAAGUAGGCCUAAAAGCAGCCACCUUUUAAAAAGCGUUACAGCCUUAUCACAUUGUAUCAUUAAUUCCAACCUUAGCCCAAAACCCCUUACCUAUACUGAAUGACCCCAUACCUCUAUGGAAGCCAUUAUGUUAAAACUAGUAACAAGAAUAUUUAUUCUCCCAUAAAUGUAAGUGUAAGCCGAAAUGGACCACCCAUCGGCACUUACCGCCAAUGAACCCACAGUAAUAACCCCCCCCCCAGAAAACCCUACUUCCACCAG
This 381-nucleotide ribosomal RNA is filed under the name Mantophryne cf. lateralis LAO-2013. Its description in RNAcentral is "partial 16S ribosomal RNA". The record is from RNAcentral. Lineage: Eukaryota; Metazoa; Chordata; Amphibia; Anura; Microhylidae.